RNAcentral lists this transfer RNA (74 nucleotides) under Mediterranea sp. (in: CFB group bacteria). RNAcentral's name for it is "Mediterranea sp. tRNA-Pro". It matches the Rfam family "tRNA". Rfam says of the family: Transfer RNA (tRNA) molecules are approximately 80 nucleotides in length. Their secondary structure includes four short double-helical elements and three loops (D, anti-codon, and T loops). Further hydrogen bonds mediate the characteristic L-shaped molecular structure. tRNAs have two regions of fundamental functional importance: the anti-codon, which is responsible for specific mRNA codon recognition, and the 3' end, to which the tRNAs corresponding amino acid is attached (by aminoacyl-tRNA synthetases). tRNAs cope with the degeneracy of the genetic code in two manners: having more than one tRNA (with a specific anti-codon) for a particular amino acid; and 'wobble' base-pairing, i.e. permitting non-standard base-pairing at the 3rd anti-codon position. Lineage: Bacteria; Pseudomonadati; Bacteroidota; Bacteroidia; Bacteroidales; Bacteroidaceae. The record is from RNAcentral.
CGGGGCAUAGCGCAGUCCGGUAGCGCACCUGCUUUGGGAGCAGGGGGUCGUGGGUUCGAAUCCCGCUACCCCGA